RNAcentral lists this ribosomal RNA (502 nucleotides) under uncultured bacterium. RNAcentral's name for it is "bacterial SSU rRNA". It matches the Rfam family "Bacterial small subunit ribosomal RNA", at positions 8 to 507 of the family's 1533-position model. The record is from RNAcentral.
AGAGUUUGAUCAUGGCUCAGAUUGAACGCUGGCGGAAUGCUUUACACAUGCAAGUCGAGCGGCAGCACGGGGGCAACCUGGUGGCGAGCGGCGAACGGGUGAGUAACACAUCGGAACGUACCCUAUCGUGGGGGAUAACGAAUCGAAAGAUUCGCUAAUACCGCAUACGACCCGAGGGUGGAAGCGGGGGAUCGCAAGACCUCGCGCGACAGGAGCGGCCGAUGGCGGAUUAGCUAGUUGUGGGGUAAAGGCCCACCAAGGCGACGAUCCGUAGCGGGUCUGAGAGGACGGCCCGCCACACUGGGACUGAGACACGGCCCAGACUCCUACGGGAGGCAGCAGUGGGGAAUUUUGGACAAUGGGGGCAACCCUGAUCCAGCCAUUCCGCGUGAGUGAAGAAGGCCUUCGGGUUGUAAAGCUCUUUCGGCAGGAACGAAAAGGCUCUCUCUAACAUAGGGGGUCAAUGACGGUACCUGAAGAAGAAGCACCGGCUAACUACGUG